UUCCAAAAAAAGCCUGACCUGCAUGACAUAGUAUCUUUGACAUUUCCAGUAGAAAUCUGAUGGAGAAUAACCAUUGGACAUAAAACCAUAAAAUUCUACCACUUUCACCAACUUGGCACACAAAUUAUGAAGCAGCAAGCUAUUUCAGCAUGCGCCCAAACGACGUGAUCUCCCUAGCCAUUAUACAGCAAUAACAGUAUUUGCUAACUAAAAAUUCAGGCUACUGUGAAGAAUCAGAGAACACUUGCAAGGAGCACUGCAGUUGCAGAGCAAUGGCUGAACAGAGACCUUUGGCUGGAACUCAAGAGCAGAAGGAAAGCUUACGCUCUCUGGAAGAAUGGGCAAGCGACUUAUAAUGAUUACAGAUAACACCUGGCAAUACCAUAAUUGAAAGAAAACAAGGGAUUUCCCAGUGCUCCAGCACAGCCUGCCUUCAGACAGCAGAUUUCACAAGAGGGAUUGGUGCUGUGUCUGAUCUUGUUCAACAUCUUCAUCAGUGAACUGGAUGAAGGGAUAGAGGUGCACCCUCACCAAGUCUGAAGAUAUAAAGCUGGGAGGAAUGGCAGCAAGACCUGGACAGGCUGGGGAGUUGGAUGGAGAGGAAACUUCAGAGGCUGAACAAGCCCAGUUCCUUCACCCUAUCUUCAUAGGAGAACUGCUCCAGCCCUCGGAUCAACUUCAUGGCCUUUCUCUGGACUCUCUUCAAAAGCUCCACAUCUUUCUUGUGCUGAGGGCCCCUGACUUGGAUGCAGUAAUCCGGCUGGGACCUCACAAGGGCAGAAUAGAGGGGGAGAAUCACCUCCCUUGUCCUGCUGACUGCCCCUCUUCUGAGGGAAUCCUCUGAUCUCUCUAUAUGAACUACACAUAUAACCUAGCUAGUAAUAUACACUGUAUGUGCAACCUCAAUUAAUUGUGCACUUCGUAACAAUUUGAAGUAUCAGGGAAAAAUAAUAUCUCUCAGCUGUGGUGCUGGUUGUGGUUUUAGUUUGUUUUGCUUUUCCAUUAGCAAUCUGGUAUUUGUGGCUGACAUUUUUAUUGCAUUAAUGGCAGGAAACAAUAUGAAAAGAAUGCAGACAGAAGUGGAAAGCAUUAACAGAAACAUUUAGAAACACUGCAGCGACAUUCUAAUUAUAAUGGUGAGUAAUAGGCACAUAGUGGAAAAGGCCAGGUUCAGAGAAUGUUCAGUGAAAUUUAAAAUUUAAAUUUCAACUCUAAAAAGUAGAAGACUUGUAAAAUUUUAAUGAGUGUUUACCCUUUGCAGUGUUGUACUAUGGACAGAUACGACAUCAUGAGACUGAAAAAAAAUUAAAGUUGUUGUCUAAGUUGUAUCAUCACAUAGCUUCAUUGAAAAUUAGUGGAUUAUUAAAAAAAUAAAUUAAUAAAAAAUACACAGAACUAAGUCUCCAAUUCAAGGUGUUGGUUAUUUUGUUUGUCUUUGCAGAGCUUGAGAUUCUGGCAUUUGUAAUUAAAGGCUGUGGCAUGAAGGAAAUUUUGGGGUCAAUGUGUCAUGCUCAAUUUGUCAUUAUAGCAAGAAGCACAGUAUAUUCUGUACUAAUUGCAUUUACCCAUCGCCAUAUUUAGUUUUCAUUAAAAAGGAACAAUAAAAAAAAAUCACUGCUCGGUUUUGUUCAAAGAUGCAAGAGAUUUUGCUGUUUGCUGAGGAAAAGAAUACGUUAAAAAAAAAAGGAAACUUAUCACAGAAUUUAUGUAGAACUGGAGAUCUAGUUUUGUCUUAUUAAAUGAGGACCAGAUCUAACCACCAGAGAAGUUAACAGAAGACUUCCCCUUACAAUUUAGCAGGCAUUGGAUUAAAGCAUUGCUUUUUGGUGAGUCACAAUUUGCUGCAGCUGUCAUUUUAUCAGUGUUGCAGACCUAAUUUGUGAGUUUCAGUACAUACUUUCUCUUCAUUUUGAGCUUUGGAAGUUGACUUGUGGGCUAGGAAGGAGGAUGGCUUUUUCAGGAACUAAUGCAUUCGAAAAUUCUUAUUUGAAGACAACUGAAUGCAAACUGCAUUGAUCUACAUAUAAUGAUCUCCACACAAAUAGUUUAGCUGGAAGGGAUAGCAGCUAAGCUCUAUAUGGUGACUGUACUUGGCUCCUACAAACCUCAGCACAUAUGAGUAACUGCAUGCAUUGCCUAGUUCCAGAGGGGCAGUAGGACUGCUUGUUUCAGUAGUGACUGAUACACAUGGGUGUUUGUAGGAUCAAGCCCCACUGUGAAGCAGAAAGAAAACAUCUCCUUGGAGGGAGCUACUAAGCAGAACAUACACGAAGGGUAAGGAACAAAGAGAUAUUUCAAGAUGAGGUACUGCACACAGAGUAGAUGAGUCAUGGAAAAGAUGCUAAGUGAUUCAUUAAUGCCAGAAGCUUAGCCAAUAAAGAAUGCCCAUGUAUGAAACUAAUGACUACGCUUUUACAAUGCUACCAAACUAUUUGCUUUUGUAAACUUAACAUAGGAAUUAUUUUCUCCCAUUUUGAAAAUUUAUUAUGCAAUUACUUGUCACUUUAAUAAACUCUAUGCAUGGCUGUGAUAACGGUUGCUCAAAGUACUGAGGACUUUACAGUUUUUGUUUUAAAAAAGAAAAACACUAGGAACUUCAAGUCCUGCCAAUUUUUUCCUCCCUGCCAAGUCCUAUUAGCAUAAAUGAACGGUUUAUUUUAAGAAAUGCCUGAUAAAUUACUCUACACAAUCAGUAAUGAGGGUACUGUCAGCAAAGGAGAAUCAUUUCCAAAAUUUACUUGGCACAGAUGAGAGGCUGACUAGCUCACAAUCAUGCUACA
This is a long non-coding RNA of Tympanuchus pallidicinctus (lesser prairie-chicken), 2780 nucleotides long. RefSeq lists it as uncharacterized. The record is from RefSeq and is a predicted model, not a curated record. Lineage: Eukaryota; Metazoa; Chordata; Aves; Galliformes; Phasianidae. The transcript has 4 exons.